AUAGUAUAAAUUCGGAAGGUGCUGACCAAAGAACAAAAGGGCUGCGCAAACAUGAAGGCUAAGCUGUUGAUUCUUAUCGCUCUCGUCGCUGCCUGUGUGUUGGAAACAAAAGCCCGCCAUGUGCGCAGUAAUAAGGCCGGCUUUCUUGAACAAAGAUAUCUGCAAGACAACUGUCCGUCCGUCGAUGACUGCACAAGCGACGAUGAUUGUUUAUACUGCAAAUGUUUGCCAGAGAGGGACACCAAUAAACGCUACUGUGUAUUUCUUCAGAGCGAAUAAUAUUCAAUAAAAUUUGCGCUCACUUAUUAA
Molecule: non-coding RNA, 309 nt
Organism: Dermacentor andersoni
Lineage: Eukaryota; Metazoa; Arthropoda; Arachnida; Ixodida; Ixodidae
Source: RefSeq, a predicted model, not a curated record